This 422-nucleotide ribosomal RNA is filed under the name uncultured prokaryote. RNAcentral's name for it is "bacterial SSU rRNA". It matches the Rfam family "Bacterial small subunit ribosomal RNA", at positions 355 to 774 of the family's 1533-position model. The record is from RNAcentral.
UGAGGAAUAUUGGUCAAUGGGCGCAAGCCUGAACCAGCCAUCCCGCGUGAAGGAAGAAGGCGCUAUGCGUCGUAAACUUCUUUUCCGGAGGAAUAAUAUUUCGUACGUGUACGGGACUGAAGGUACUCUGGGAAUAAGCAUCGCCUAACUUCGUGCCAUCAGCCGCGGUAAUACGGAGGAUGCGAGCGUUAUCCGGAUUUAUUGGGUUUAAAGGGUGCGUAGGCGGAACAAUAAGUCAGUGGUGAAAACCUUCAGCUUAACUGGAGACUUGCCAUUGAUACUGUUAUUCUUGAGUAUAGUUAAGGUAGGCGGAAUGUGUAAUGUAGCGGUGAAAUGCUUAGAUAUUACACAGAACACCAAUUGCGAAGGCAGCUUACUGAGCUAUAACUGACGCUGAUGCACGAAAGCGUGGGGAGCGAACA